This 417-nucleotide ribosomal RNA is filed under the name uncultured bacterium. RNAcentral describes it as "bacterial SSU rRNA". It matches the Rfam family "Bacterial small subunit ribosomal RNA", at positions 355 to 786 of the family's 1533-position model. The record is from RNAcentral.
UGGGGAAUAUUGGGCAAUGGGGGAAACCCUGACCCAGCAACGCCGCGUGAGGGAAGAAGGUUUUCGGAUUGUAAACCUCUGUCCUUAGGGACGAAGAAAGUGACGGUACCUAAGGAGGAAGCUCCGGCUAACUACGUGCCAGCAGCCGCGGUAAUACGUAGGGAGCGAGCGUUGUCCGGAAUUACUGGGCGUAAAGGGUGCGUAGGCGGUUUGUCAAGUCGAAUGUGAAAUACCGGGGCUUAACCUCGGGGCUGCAUUCGAAACUGGCAGACUUGAGUGCAGGAGAGGAAAGCGGAAUUCCUAGUGUAGCGGUGAAAUGCGUAGAUAUUAGGAGGAACACCAGUGGCGAAGGCGGCUUUCUGGACUGUAACUGACGUUGAGGCGCGAAAGCGUGGGGAGCAAACAGGAUUAGAUACC